CAGAGGCCUCGAGCGUUAGGCGGAAUCACUGGGCUUAAAGCGUGUGUAGGUGGAUGCCUAAGUACCUUGUGAAAUCCCACGGCUUAACCGUGGAAUGGCUGGGUAUACUGGGUGUCUUGAGCCACUCAGGGGCUACCGGAACAAAUGGUGGAGCGGUGAAAUGCGUAGAUAUCAUUUGGAACGCCAAUGGUGAAAACAGGUAGCUGGGGGUGUGCUGACACUGAGACACGAAAGCCAGGGGAGCAAACGGG
This 251-nucleotide ribosomal RNA is filed under the name uncultured bacterium. RNAcentral describes it as "partial 16S ribosomal RNA". It matches the Rfam family "Bacterial small subunit ribosomal RNA", at positions 526 to 776 of the family's 1533-position model. The record is from RNAcentral.